Molecule: non-coding RNA, 24 nt
Filed under: Arabidopsis thaliana (thale cress)
Lineage: Eukaryota; Viridiplantae; Streptophyta; Magnoliopsida; Brassicales; Brassicaceae
Also listed under: 1 other name
Source: RNAcentral
CAACUAGCCCCGAAAAUGGAUGGC